This 2022-nucleotide long non-coding RNA is filed under the name Portunus trituberculatus (swimming crab). Its description in RNAcentral is "uncharacterized LOC123511663, transcript variant X2". Lineage: Eukaryota; Metazoa; Arthropoda; Malacostraca; Decapoda; Portunidae. The record is from RNAcentral.
UGCAUCAUUUGUUUAAUUAGUUUUUAGUGUAAAUAAAGAUCUUUGUUUCUCUAAACACUGUCAGGACACAAACGAGCGUCACGUAGGAAGGUUUGGGACCCACGCAGCCUACACUACCUAGUUAACAAUGCUUAUAGAACGGUGCUCACCCUACUACUUAGUUACAACGUGUCUUUACAGCAAACAAGAGGUGGAGGAGGAGGAGGAGGAGGAGGAGGUGAAGUGGAAAGCAGUGACGAGGCAAGCGAUUGUUUUCGCCUUAGCCUGUGCACAGAACGACUGGUGUGUGACCCGGCUGCCAGGAAAGCAUGCAACCUGCACGGGGACCGGAGCUGUGACAACGAGCCAGCACCAGCGGGCGUAAGACUGAAUGACUGACUGACUGUUGUGAGUGAUAUGAGUAUAAGGUAUAAUGAGUAAAAGGGGGCUGCCGUGGUACAGUGGAACCAUGCGUGGUUUGGGGUCCGAGGGUCUCCAAGCGCAUGGGUUCGAAUCGUGUCCACGGUCCGAGUGUAGGUUGGGCUUCCUCACUCGGGGUAACGGUUUCCUAGCGGGUGGGCUUUGAGAUAGGAGGUACCCCAAAAAAGUAUCCCCUUUAGUCCAUAAAUUCCCGUGAAAAGCCCACCUGGUAUAAAUAAAAUUUAAAAAAAAGUAAUUCUUCUAAAGGGGUUAGAAGUUGACGUUUCCUGUGUACAUUAGAAAUCUAGGUACAGAGGAUCUGAUAGAGCCUAACAGCAGAGAGGCAUAUGUAAAGAGGGCCUGAUAAUAGGUCUUAAUGGUAAAGGUAGUUAUGUAACGGAUGAAAUAAGCAAAAAAGUGGAAAAUGGGUUUUGAAAGGUCAAAAGUUUUGGCAGAUAACUUGUCUCGUUCUCAGAGUGGUAGGUAAGUGGAGUGGGCGGCUGUUUGUCAGGUUGUAUCAAGGUGUUCCUGUUGAGGCCUCCAAGCGCUUAGCUGUGUGAUAAGGUUCCUCACACCACACUCGCGAGAGUAUAGGCCUAGCCAUGAUCGUCAGGGCAGAGUCUUUAAAAUUUCAUACUUCGUAAGUGUAAUAUAACAAGGGUGUUUAAUUAUUUCUGGAGAAUAAGAAAUAACAGGUGGAGGUUAAGAGGAAUAAUACUGGAACGUUUUAAAGUAAAACGGUGUGGAUAGUAAUUAUUAGUGCUCGAGUAUUGGGCAGUAAAUGGGAUAGACUUGAGGGUAGGUGAGUGAUGGGCGGUAAAUGAGAUUGACUUGAGGACAGUUAAUAUUUAAGUAUUGUUCGGUAAAUGAAAUGGACUAAGCGCUCGGGAAAUUGUAGCAGCGGUGUUCUUGUCGAGGCCUUUGAAUGCUUCGCUAUUCUGGACUAUGGGUGCUUACAACACUUGUGUAAAGCACACCGUAUAUUUGAAAGGAAGAUUUCCAAGAAUUAAACUUUAUUUUUGUCACAGGUACUGCCGCUACUGAAGGGAGAACCAAACCGUCGUGUCCUGCCAAUGCUCCCCAUCCCGCUGCUGGAGACUGCCUCGUGUCCUGCCAAUGCUCCCCAUCCCGCUGCUGGAGACUACCUCGUGUCCAAACUAGUGUCCUGUCUCAGCCAGUUCUGUAAACACACUCCAUCCUGCCUCGUGUCAAAACCAGCGUGUCCUGCCGAUACUCCAUUCUGCUGCUGGAGACUGCUUAGUCUUGCAGCACCGUGAGAUUAGACGCCUCGUCACUUCUGUCCUGCCAAAAACUACGCGCUGCCGGCAGGGAGGGAGGACAGAUAAGCUUCCUCACCACUGUCCUGCAAGGAGUACGUGCUGCCGCCCAGGGAUGUUAGGUUGGGUUGGGUUAAGGUUUACUAUAAAUCCUGUGUAUGUUUGGCAUAAGGACUUGUAAAUUAGUUGCUGUUCUACCUUGUUUAUUUUUUACCCUUUUACUUUCUCGUGUAAAUUUUUAGUCUACCUUGUCUUGCUAAUACUCUGCCAGUCUGUCCGUGCUGUGAGUGUACUGUAUCUACAUAACUGUGGCGCCACUACUCAAUAAAUUACCAGGAUGAACCAA